Molecule: ribosomal RNA, 253 nt
Filed under: uncultured bacterium
Lineage: Bacteria
Description: partial 16S ribosomal RNA
Rfam family: Bacterial small subunit ribosomal RNA
Source: RNAcentral
UACGGAGGGAGCUAGCGUUAUUCGGAAUUACUGGGCGUAAAGGGCGCGUAGGCGGUGCUCUAAGUCGGAUGUGAAAACUCUGGGCUCAACCCAGAGCCUGCAUCCGAAACUGGAGUGCUAGAGUUCUGGAGGGGGUAGCGGAAUUCCUGGUGUAGCGGUGAAAUGCGUAGAUAUCAGGAGGAACACCGGUGGCGAAGGCGGCUACCUGGACAGAAACUGACGCUGAGGCGCGAAAGCUAGGGGAGCAAACAGG